RNAcentral lists this ribosomal RNA (433 nucleotides) under uncultured bacterium. RNAcentral's name for it is "partial 16S ribosomal RNA". It matches the Rfam family "Bacterial small subunit ribosomal RNA", at positions 29 to 507 of the family's 1533-position model. The record is from RNAcentral.
AACGAACGCUGGCGGCAGGCCUAACACAUGCAAGUCGAGCGAGGACUUCGGUCCUAGCGGCGGACGGGUGAGUAACGCGUGGGAACGUGCCCUUUGCUUCGGAAUAGCCCUGGGAAACUGGGAGUAAUACCGGAUGAGCCCUUUGGGGGAAAGAUUUAUCGGCGAAGGAUCGGCCCGCGUUGGAUUAGGUAGUUGGUGGGGUAAUGGCCUACCAAGCCGACGAUCCAUAGCUGGUUUGAGAGGAUGAUCAGCCACACUGGGACUGAGACACGGCCCAGACUCCUACGGGAGGCAGCAGUGGGGAAUCUUAGACAAUGGGGGAAAGCCUGAUGUAGCCAUGCCGCGUGAGUGAUGAAGGCCUUAGGGUUGUAAAGCUCUUUCAGCUGGGAAGAUAAUGACGGUACCAGCAGAAGAAGCCCCGGCUAACUCCGUG